GGGUGGAAAGUUUUUCGGUCAAGGAUGGACUCGCGGCCUAUCAGCUAGUUGGUGAGGUAAUGGCUCACCAAGGCGACGACGGGUAGCCGGCCUGAGAGGGUGACCGGCCACACUGGGACUGAGACACGGCCCAGACUCCUACGGGAGGCAGCAGUGGGGAAUAUUGCACAAUGGGCGAAAGCCUGAUGCAGCAACGCCGCGUGGGGGAUGACGGCCUUCGGGUUGUAAACCUCUUUUAGUAGGGAAGAAGGGCUUCGGCUUGACGGUACCUGCAGAAAAAGCACCGGCUAACUACGUGCCAGCAGCCGCGGUAAUACGUAGGGUGCAAGCGUUGUCCGGAAUUAUUGGGCGUAAAGAGCUCGUAGGCGGUUUGUCGCGUCUGCUGUGAAAACCCGAGGCUCAACCUCGGGCCUGCAGUGGGUACGGGCAGACUAGAGUGCGGUAGGGGAGAAUGGAAUUCCUGGUGUAGCGGUGGAAUGCGCAGAUAUCAGGAGGAACACCGAUGGCGAAGGCAGUUCUCUGGGCCGUUACUGACGCUGAGGAGCGAAAGCGUGGGGAGCGAACAGGAUUAGAUACCCUGGUAGUCCACGCCGUAAACGUUGGGAACUAGAUGUGGGGACCUUUCCACGGUCUCCGUGUCGCAGCUAACGCAUUAAGUUCCCCGCCUGGGGAGUACGGCCGCAAGGCUAAAACUCAAAGGAAUUGACGGGGGCCCGCACAAGCGGCGGAGCAUGCGGAUUAAUUCGAUGCAACGCGAAGAACCUUACCAAGGCUUGACAUAUACCGGAAACUUCCAGAAAUGGUUGCCCCGCAAGGUCGGUAUACAGGUGGUGCAUGGUUGUCGUCAGCUCGUGUCGUGAGAUGUUGGGUUAAGUCCCGCAACGAGCGCAACCCUCGUUCUAUGUUGCCAGCACGUCAUGGUGGGAACUCAUAGGAGACUGCCGGGGUCAACUCGGAGGAAGGUGGGGAUGACGUCAAAUCAUCAUGCCCCUUAUGUCUUGGGCUUCACGCAUGCUACAAUGGCCGGUACAAAGGGCUGCGAUACCGUAAGGUGGAGCGAAUCCCAAAAAGCCGGUCUCAGUUCGGAUUGAGGUCUGCAACUCGACCUCAUGAAGUCGGAGUCGCUAGUAAUCGCAGAUCAGCAACGCUGCGGUGAAUACGUUCCCGGGCCUUGUACACACCGCCCGUCAAGUCAUGAAAGUCGGUAACACCCGAAGCCAGUGGCCUAACCGCAAGGAGGGAGCUGUCGAAGGUGGGAUCGGUGAUUAGGACUAAGUCGUAACAAGGUAGCCGUACCGGAAGGUGCGGCUGGAUCACCUCCUUUCUAAGGA
Molecule: ribosomal RNA, 1331 nt
Filed under: Rathayibacter sp. AY1E8
Lineage: Bacteria; Bacillati; Actinomycetota; Actinomycetes; Micrococcales; Microbacteriaceae
Description: bacterial SSU rRNA
Rfam family: Bacterial small subunit ribosomal RNA
Source: RNAcentral